AAGCAUAUCAGUAAGCGGAGGAAAAGAAACUAACCAGGAUUCUCCUAGUCCUGGGCACGCUAGUCUACUCGAAGUCCAACUCCGAUUACGGCUUUGGAUUUAUGCCAUAGUGGGUGAAAGACCCGUUCGGGUAGACAGUAAUGUUUUUAGCGUGCUCCAGAUGUUGUCGUUUUGGAGUCGGAUUGCUUGAGAAUGCAGUCCAAAGUGGGUGGUAAACUCCAUCCAAGGCUAAAUACUGGCACGAGUCCGAUAGUAGACAAGUACCGUGAGGGAAAGUUGAAAAGUACUCUGAAGAGAGAGUAAAUAGUACGUGAAGCUGCCUGCAAGGAAGUUGGUGGAGUCAAGCUUCUUAGAAGUGGAAUUGGCGCGGAGAAUUUGUAAUGUUUAUUGGCCGGUGGUGUAUCAGCUUGUAAAUGACUGGAUAGGCUUGCCUAUCUAAGGCGUUCCGGGUUGUACGCUUUUUAUGCAUUCUAAAUUUUGGUCAAUUCUCUUGUGCUGUUUUCGCUUCUUAACAUCACAGUCGAUGCUCAUAUAUUGUUUGGUGAUCUAACCGUGGCCUUUGUGAAUCUCGGUUCACUGGCCAUGGGAUGGCAGGUGUAAAUGCUAGGACUUCGGUUCUAAUGUUUCUUAUUUUGGUUUUACCUUGUCGAUUACCAGUUGUUUUAUAUAAUUAAUUAUGUGCAUUGUUCUUAUAGCAAUAGUAACUAUUAAUGGUUGCUUUGUUGAGAGCUGUGGUGCCGAGGUAGAUGUUCCACCCGACCCGUCUUG
This 768-nucleotide ribosomal RNA is filed under the name Hamatopeduncularia bagre. Its description in RNAcentral is "eukaryotic LSU rRNA". It matches the Rfam family "Eukaryotic large subunit ribosomal RNA", at positions 36 to 656 of the family's 3401-position model. The record is from RNAcentral. Lineage: Eukaryota; Metazoa; Platyhelminthes; Monogenea; Dactylogyridea; Ancylodiscoididae.